Non-coding RNA from Pelobates cultripes (western spadefoot toad), 1032 nucleotides. The record is from the annotation of a GenBank genome assembly. Lineage: Eukaryota; Metazoa; Chordata; Amphibia; Anura; Pelobatidae.
CACAGAGACACCUCAACGAACCUCACAUGCCUUUUAAAAAAACUCAUUAAUGAGAUUACUUUGAAAUAAAGUUUUACUAAUUUUCCAGCAAUGCUUUCUUGUACGUUGCAUUUUCAAUGCUGAUCACAUUGAUUAGGAAGUUGGUAGAGUUGAUACCUGCAUAUAUUCCUGCAUUCUCCAUCAAUAUGGCCUGCAUACCAUAACGGAGACAUCACCAAGAUAAGACAUAGCCUCUAUUUCCCAUAACUCCCCUGCCACCAGUGACAACUGGAGUGUGUGAAUGUCAUCCGGUUGUAUAUACUCAUCAUAGACUGGCAAUAGUUUUUCUACUAAAUAAAGAGUUAAAUACAACAGGGACACAGUCAAAUCCCAUAUAAUUAUAAUGGCGUGGUAAAUCAGUGGGUAGGAAUGGGUUUUGUUCCAGUAAUGAACUUUUGGCAUUUCAUAGUUCCAGCCUUUGGCAAGUAGCUUGUCUAAACCUUCUUCAUUCCAUCUCUUACUUUGUCCUGCAGCUUGCAUCUAAUCAAUGAUCUAGGAACCGUCAGUACACAACCCUUUUAUCUCUUCAAAUGUCAGCCUAAUACGAACACAUGCCAAGUAUUGUUUUACCAGUGAAAGAAUUUCUUGGAAUUUUGGAUUACAUUAAUAUUAAUGUGACCUUGUUUUAAAAUUUUGAUAUAAAAAGUAGAAAUUGUCUAAGGACAUAGGGAAAUUGUUAAUCCACAAAGAAUGCUCCUUUAACCAACAUCUAAUUUAUGCUUUAUAUAUACACGGCUGGUCUUUCUAUAUUGAAUUAAAGAAAGAACUAUGUUUAGUUGUCUUGUCGCUGCUCAUCACAUUCAGGAAAAAAACAAAAAACUACUUGCAUUUAUUAAUGAGCCAAAGUUUCUCAAGUUUCCAAUUUCAUUCAGCGGAAAGGGAAAUUGUUAAUAUAUAUCUGAUUGAAAUUCCGUUUUAAGUUAACCAUUUUAAAUUGAAUUAUACAGAGCAAACGUAUUAGGUGUACUGACCAUAGUACUUAAUUGCAGUGGG